This 202-nucleotide non-coding RNA is filed under the name Rattus norvegicus (Norway rat). RNAcentral's name for it is "Eukaryotic large subunit ribosomal RNA". It matches the Rfam family "Eukaryotic large subunit ribosomal RNA", at positions 2129 to 2336 of the family's 3401-position model. Lineage: Eukaryota; Metazoa; Chordata; Mammalia; Rodentia; Muridae. The record is from Rfam by way of RNAcentral.
GGAAGCUACCCAUCUUUACAUAUAUUCUGAAGGCACAGGGCAGGUAUUGACACUACAUGACUUCUGCCAACUGCUUUGAAUGUCAAAGUGAAGAAAUUCAAUGAAGCACAGGUAAAUGGUGGGAGUAACUAGGACUCUCUUAAGGUAGCCAAAUGCCUCAUCAUCUAAUUAGUGACUUACAUGAAUGGAUGAAAGAGAUUCC